RNAcentral lists this ribosomal RNA (256 nucleotides) under uncultured bacterium. RNAcentral's name for it is "partial 16S ribosomal RNA". It matches the Rfam family "Bacterial small subunit ribosomal RNA", at positions 101 to 353 of the family's 1533-position model. The record is from RNAcentral.
AACGGGUGAGUAACGCGUGAGGAACCUGCCUCAAAGAGGGGGACAACAGUUGGAAACGACUGCUAGUACCGCAUAAGCCCACGGGUCGGCAUCGACCAGAGGGAAAAGGAGCAAUCCGCUUUGAGAUGGCCUCGCGUCCGAUUAGCUGGUUGGUGAGGUAAUGGCCCACCAAGGCAACGAUCGGUAGCCGGACUGAGAGGUUGAACGGCCACAUUGGGACUGAGACACGGCCCAGACUCCUACGGGAGGCAGCAUG